RNAcentral lists this ribosomal RNA (869 nucleotides) under uncultured archaeon. Its description in RNAcentral is "bacterial SSU rRNA". It matches the Rfam family "Archaeal small subunit ribosomal RNA", at positions 1 to 879 of the family's 1478-position model. The record is from RNAcentral.
UUCCGGUGAUCCCUGCCGGACCCGACUGCUAUCAGAGUGGGACUAAGCCAUGCGAGUCGACGUAGCAAUGCGUGGCGAACGGCUCAGUAACACGUAGUCAACAUGCCCAGGGGACGUGGAUAACCUCGGGAAACUGAGAAUAAACCACGAUAGGUCACGAUUUCUGGAAUGGAUCAUGGCCUAAAUCUACAUGGCCCCUGGAUUGGACUGCGGCCGAUCAGGCUGUUGGUGAGGUAAUGGCCCACCAAACCUAUAACCGGUACGGGCUCUGAGAGGAGAAGCCCGGAGAUGGGCACUGAGACAAGGGCCCAGGCCCUAUGGGGCGCAGCAGGCGCGAAACCUCUGCAAUAGGCGAAAGCCUGACAGGGUUACUCUGAGUGAUUUCCGCUAAGGGGAUCUUUUGGCACCUCUAAAAAUGGUGCAGAAUAAGGGGUGGGCAAGUCUGGUGUCAGCCGCCGCGGUAAUACCAGCACCCCGAGUGGUCGGGACGAUUAUUGGGCCUAAAGCAUCCGUAGCCGGUUCUGCAAGUCUUCCGUUAAAUCCAGCCGCUCAACGGAUGGGCCGCGGAGGAUACUACAGGACUAGGAGGCGGGAGAGGCAAGCGGUACUCAGUGGGUAGGGGUAAAAUCCUUUGAUCCAUUGAAGACCACCAGUGGCGAAGGCGGCUUGCCAGAACGCGCUCGACGGUGAGGGAUGAAAGCUGGGGGAGCAAACCGGAUUAGAUACCCGGGUAGUCCCAGCUGUAAACGAUGCAGACUCGGUGAUGGGCUAGCCUUGUGCCAGCCCAGUGCCGCAGGGAAGCCGUUAAGUCUGCCGCCUGGGGAGUACGGUCGCAAGACUGAAACUUAAAGGAAUUGGCGGGGGAGCCA